ACAAAACUUUACUGGAAAAUAA
RNAcentral lists this small nuclear RNA (22 nucleotides) under Arabidopsis thaliana (thale cress). RNAcentral's name for it is "snRNA_01948". The record is from RNAcentral. Lineage: Eukaryota; Viridiplantae; Streptophyta; Magnoliopsida; Brassicales; Brassicaceae.